GCGCCCGUAGCUCAGGUGGAUAGAGCGUCUGCCUUCUAAGCAGAAAGUCGCUGGUUCGAGUCCAGCCGGGCGCGCCA
This 77-nucleotide transfer RNA is filed under the name Pseudomonadota bacterium. RNAcentral describes it as "tRNA-Arg". It matches the Rfam family "tRNA". Rfam says of the family: Transfer RNA (tRNA) molecules are approximately 80 nucleotides in length. Their secondary structure includes four short double-helical elements and three loops (D, anti-codon, and T loops). Lineage: Bacteria; Pseudomonadati; Pseudomonadota. The record is from RNAcentral. RNAcentral also lists the same sequence under 2 other names.